AGACCAACACCCCUGCUCCUGGCGGCUCCUACCUGGGACUUAGACCCUCAGGUCCCUAAUAUCCCGGAGGUGCUCUCAAUCAGAAAGGUCCUGCUCCGCUUCUCAGUGGAAUGGAACGGAUUUAGAAGCCUGCAGUAGGGGAGUGGGGAGUGGAGAGAAGGAGCCCAGAGUUACAGACAGCGGCGAGAGGCCCCAAAGAGUCCGAAGUUUACAAGACCAGAAAUGCCACGGCCGCGUCCUGGCAGAGAGAAAAGGCUGAAAUGGAGGAGCGGCGCCUUCCUUAUAAGUAUGCACAUUGGCGAGAAUAAACAGAAUUAAGUGCUGCAACCCAAACCAGCAAUUACACUCAAGCUCGUUGGGGCCUAAGCCAGUACCGACCUGGUAGAAAAGCAACCACGAAGCUAGAGAGAGAGCCAGAGGAGGGAAGAGAGCGCCAGACGAAGGUGAAAGCGAACCACGCAGAGAAAUGUAGGCAAGGGAGCAAGGCGGCAGUUCCCGGAACAAACGUGGCAGAGGGCAAGACAGGCACUCACAGACAGAGGUUUAUGUAUUUUUAUUUUUUUAAAAUCUGAUUU
This 575-nucleotide non-coding RNA is filed under the name Pongo abelii (Sumatran orangutan). The record is from RNAcentral. Lineage: Eukaryota; Metazoa; Chordata; Mammalia; Primates; Hominidae.